GAAAAAACUCCUGAGAUGUUUGAGGGAUCCAGGCCCAGGCACAUUAAAAGAAUUGGAAGCCGGGUGUGGUGGCUUAUGCCUGUAAUCCCAGCACUCCGGAGACUGAGGCUUCCCUUCAGCCCCCCAGCCCCGACAGGCACCUCAUCAGUCAAGGGUGUGAGCAUCAAAUCCAGCCUCCUCCACCUACUUAUUCCAGGACCUCGGCCUGGUGAGCUGUUCUCUUCAGUUCUUAGUUUCAUCUGCAAAGUGGAAAGAAAAAUAUGAUGUACGUAAAGAUAUGAGGUUGUUUUGAAGAAACGUUUGAGAGUAGAAUAUGUGAAGAUCCCUAGAAUGUCGCUGCCAAUCAACAAAUCCUGAUACCUCUUGUUCUGGGUUUACAGCCUCACCACCCAGGACCACCUCCAAUUAUUCCUCAGUGUCCACAGAGGAUUGGCUUCAAGACCCACCCUCUCUCACUGAGCGGGUGCCAAAACACUCAGACACUAAAGUCUCAUAUAGAGCAUGGCAUAGUACUGCCUGUUACCUGUGUUCAUCUUUCCAUAUACUUUAAAUCAUCUCUUGAUGUUUUAUAAUACUGAAUACAAUGCAAAGCCUGUGUAAAUAGUUGUUCUAUUGUAUGGUUUAUAGAAUAACGACAAGGAAAAUCAAUCUGUAUGUGUUUGAUAGAUGAUUUCUUUUUCUGGUACUAGGAGUGAACCCAGGGCUUCUCACUGGGCCG
Molecule: long non-coding RNA, 718 nt
Filed under: Fukomys damarensis (Damara mole-rat)
Lineage: Eukaryota; Metazoa; Chordata; Mammalia; Rodentia; Bathyergidae
Description: lncRNA (ENSFDAG00000023695.1)
Source: RNAcentral